UACGAAGGGGGCGAGCGUUGUUCGGAUUUACUGGGCGUAAAGGGCGCGUAGGCGGCCUGCUAAGUCGAACGUGAAAUCCCUGGGCUCAACCCAGGAACUGCGUCCGAUACUGGUUGGCUUGAAUCCGGGAGAGGGACGUGGAAUUCCAGGUGUAGCGGUGAAAUGCGUAGAUAUCUGGAGGAACACCGGUGGCGAAGGCGGGUCUCUGGGCCGAUACUGACGCUGAGGAGCGAAAGCGUGGGGAGCGAACAGG
This 253-nucleotide ribosomal RNA is filed under the name uncultured bacterium. Its description in RNAcentral is "partial 16S ribosomal RNA". It matches the Rfam family "Bacterial small subunit ribosomal RNA", at positions 524 to 776 of the family's 1533-position model. The record is from RNAcentral.